RNAcentral lists this ribosomal RNA (253 nucleotides) under uncultured bacterium. Its description in RNAcentral is "partial 16S ribosomal RNA". It matches the Rfam family "Bacterial small subunit ribosomal RNA", at positions 524 to 776 of the family's 1533-position model. The record is from RNAcentral.
GACAGAGGGGGCAAGCGUUGUCCGGAGGGACUGGGCGUACAGCGCGCGCAGGCGGACCGGAACGUGCCAUGUUACAGCCCUGCGCUCACCGCAGGGUGGCCACGGUAGACGUCCGGUCUGGAGGCAGGGAGAGGGAUGUGGAAUACCCGGUGGAGCGGUGAAAUGCGUAGAGAUCGGGUGGAACACCAGUGGCGAAGGCGGCAUCCUGGCCCUGACCUGACGCUGAAGCGCGAGAGCGUGGGGAGCAAACGGG